This 295-nucleotide long non-coding RNA is filed under the name Ananas comosus (pineapple). RNAcentral describes it as "long non-coding RNA (ACOM_LNC015220)". The record is from RNAcentral. Lineage: Eukaryota; Viridiplantae; Streptophyta; Magnoliopsida; Poales; Bromeliaceae.
UAGGUAUACGGCGGGCUGUUGGCAAGCCCGGGGAACGUGGUAAUUCGGGGCGUGACAGAUUAAGUUAGUAUCAGAGUAGGAUUAGGUCGUUGGGACGUAGGAGACCUUAGGCUUUGGUAGACCUUAGGAAAGCAUGACGUGAGAAACGUGACUUAUUGCGAAAGUCAGUAAUUGAGUUAUUUUUCCUUCUCCUAGAGUGGAAAGAGUGACUGAAGGAGUGUUUGGUUUCGCUGCAGCAGACAGCAUAAUUUCACGGAGGAACAGGGACGACCUCCUAGACUUUCGUUUAAUUGGG